This 484-nucleotide ribosomal RNA is filed under the name uncultured bacterium. RNAcentral describes it as "partial 16S ribosomal RNA". It matches the Rfam family "Bacterial small subunit ribosomal RNA", at positions 29 to 523 of the family's 1533-position model. The record is from RNAcentral.
AAUGAACGUUGGCGGCGUGGAUUAGGCAUGCAAGUCGUACGGACCGUGGUAGCAAUAUUACGGUUAGUGGCGCAAGGGAGAGUAAUACGUAGGUAUUUACCCUGGGGUCUGGGAUAGCGGCGGGAAACUGCCGGUAAUACCAGAUGAUAUCUCCGGAUCAAAGGUGUGAUUCCGCCCUAGGAGAAGCCUGCGGUCUAUCAGCUAGUUGGUAGGGUAACGGCCCACCAAGGCAAAGACGGAUAUGGGGCGUGAGAGCGUGCUCCCACUCACUGGGAAUGAGACACGGCCCAGACACCUACGGGUGGCUGCAGUCGAGAAUCUUCGGCAAUGGGCGCAAGCCUGACCGAGCGACGCCGCGUGCGGGAUGAAGGCCUUCGGGUCGUAAACCGCUGUCGAAGGGGAGGAAAUUGUAGUGGGUUCACCCAUUAUAUUGACCGAUCCUUGGAGGAAGGGCCGGCUAAUCUCGUGCCAGCAGCCGCGGUAA